AGUGAACGCUGGCGGUAGGCCUAACACAUGCAAGUCGAACGGCAGCACAGAGGAGCUUGCUCCUUGGGUGGCGAGUGGCGGACGGGUGAGGAAUACAUCGGAAUCUACUCUGUCGUGGGGGAUAACGUAGGGAAACUUACGCUAAUACCGCAUACGACCUACGGGUGAAAGCAGGGGAUCUUCGGACCUUGCGCGAUUGAAUGAGCCGAUGUCGGAUUAGCUAGUUGGCGGGGUAAAGGCCCACCAAGAAGACGAUCCGUAGCUGGUCUGAGAGGAUGAUCAGCCACACUGGAACUGAGACACGGUCCAGACUCCUACGGGAGGCAGCAGUGGGGAAUAUUGGACAGUGGGCGCAAGCCUGAUCCAGCCAUACCGCGUGGGUGAAGAAGGCCUUCGGGUUGUAAAGCCCUUUUGUUGGGAAAGAAAUCCAUCUGGUUAAUACCCGGGUGGGAUGACGGUACCCAAAGAAUAAGCACCGGCUAACUUCGUGCCAGCAGCCGCCGUAA
Molecule: ribosomal RNA, 506 nt
Filed under: uncultured bacterium
Lineage: Bacteria
Description: partial 16S ribosomal RNA
Rfam family: Bacterial small subunit ribosomal RNA
Source: RNAcentral